AUUGAACGCUGGCGGCAGGCUUAACACAUGCAAGUCGAGCGGGGUGAUGGUGCUUGCACUAUCACUUAGCGGCGGACGGGUGAGUAAUGCUUAGGAAUCUGCCUAUUAGUGGGGGACAACAUCUCGAAAGGGAUGCUAAUACCGCAUACGUCCUACGGGAGAAAGCAGGGGAUCACUUGUGACCUUGCGCUAAUAGAUGAGCCUAAGUCGGAUUAGCUAGUUGGUGGGGUAAAGGCCUACCAAGGCGACGAUCUGUAGCGGGUCUGAGAGGAUGAUCCGCCACACUGGGACUGAGACACGGCCCAGACUCCUACGGGAGGCAGCAGUGGUGAAUAUUGGACAAUGGGGGGAACCCUGAUCCAGCCAUGCCGCGUGUGUGAAGAAGGCCUUAUGGUUGUAAAGCACUUUAAGCGAGGAGGAGGCUCUUUUGGUUAAUACCCAAGAUGAGUGGACGUUACUCGCAAAAUAAGCACCGGCUAACUCUGUGCCAGCCGCCGCGGUAA
RNAcentral lists this ribosomal RNA (503 nucleotides) under uncultured bacterium. Its description in RNAcentral is "partial 16S ribosomal RNA". It matches the Rfam family "Bacterial small subunit ribosomal RNA", at positions 30 to 523 of the family's 1533-position model. The record is from RNAcentral.